CAACUUUCCGCAAUGGAAGGCUAGGCUCCCCCCUCCAUGAAAAACCCUGCCAACUGCCAUACCUAAUGGCAAUUGCAGGAUUCCAUGAGUCCUCGAAAUUUUUAACACAUAUUUGCCUUCCCGGUUAACCCUGGGAAUAUGCCCGCUACAUUGUCCGUAC
Molecule: ribosomal RNA, 160 nt
Filed under: Phytophthora drechsleri var. cajani
Lineage: Eukaryota; Oomycota; Peronosporomycetes; Peronosporales; Peronosporaceae
Description: 5.8S ribosomal RNA
Rfam family: 5.8S ribosomal RNA
About the family: 5.8S ribosomal RNA (5.8S rRNA) is a component of the large subunit of the eukaryotic ribosome. It is transcribed by RNA polymerase I as part of the 45S precursor that also contains 18S and 28S rRNA. Functionally, it is thought that 5.8S rRNA may be involved in ribosome translocation.
Source: RNAcentral